UUUCCGUAGGUGAACCUGCGGAAGGAUCAUUACUGAGUGAGGGCCCUCUGGGUCCAACCUCCCACCCGUGUUUAUUGUACCUUGUUGCUUCGGUGAGCCCGCCUCACGGCCGCCGGGGGGCAUCUGCCCCCGGGCCCGCGCUCGCCGAAGACACCCUGAACUCUGUCUGAAGGUUGCAGUCUGAGCGAAAACUAAAUAAGGUAAAACUUUCAACAACGGAUCUCUUGGUUCCG
RNAcentral lists this unclassified non-coding RNA (233 nucleotides) under plant metagenome. Its description in RNAcentral is "partial contains small subunit ribosomal RNA, internal transcribed spacer 1, and 5.8S ribosomal RNA". The record is from RNAcentral.